RNAcentral lists this ribosomal RNA (448 nucleotides) under uncultured bacterium. RNAcentral describes it as "bacterial SSU rRNA". It matches the Rfam family "Bacterial small subunit ribosomal RNA", at positions 331 to 793 of the family's 1533-position model. The record is from RNAcentral.
CCAGACUCCUACGGGAGGCAGCAGUGGGGAAUAUUGCACAAUGGGGGGAACCCUGAUGCAGCAAUGCCGCGUGAAGGAUGAAGGUUUUCGGAUUGUAAACUUCUUUUGUACGGGACGAAGAAAGUGACGGUACCGUAAGAAUAAGCCACGGCUAACUACGUGCCAGCAGCCGCGGUAAUACAUAGGGAGCAAGCGUUAUCCGGAUUUAUUGGGUGUAAAGGGUGCGUAGACGGGAAAUUAAGUUAGUUGUGAAAUCCCUCGGCUUAACUGAGGAACUGCAACUAAAACUGAUUUUCUUGAGUACUGGAGAGGAAAGUGGAAUUCCUAGUGUAGCGGUGAAAUGCGUAGAUAUUAGGAGGAACACCAGUGGCGAAGGCGACUUUCUGGACAGUAGCUGACGUUGAGGCACGAAAGUGUGGGGAGCAAACAGGAUUAGAUACCCUUGUAA